AGAGACAGCAGUAGCCGCGGUAAUACGUAGGUCCCGAGCGUUGUCCGGAUUUAUUGGGCGUAAAGCGAGCGCAGGCGGUUAGAUAAGUCUGAAGUUAAGGGCUGCGGCUUAACCAUAGUACGCUUUGGAAACUGUUUAACUUGAGUGCAAGAGGGGAGAGUGGAAUUCCAUGUGUAGCGGUGAAAUGCGUAGAUAUAUGGAGGAACACCGGUGGCGAAAGCGGCUCUCUGGCUUGUAACUGACGCUGAAGCUCGAAAGCGUGGGGAGCAAACAGGAUUAGAUACCCCGGUAGUCCCUGUCUCUUAUACA
This 309-nucleotide ribosomal RNA is filed under the name uncultured bacterium. RNAcentral describes it as "partial 16S ribosomal RNA". It matches the Rfam family "Bacterial small subunit ribosomal RNA", at positions 504 to 808 of the family's 1533-position model. The record is from RNAcentral.